GGGGAAUAUUGCACAAUGGGGGAAACCCUGAUGCAGCAACGCCGCGUGAAGGAUGACGGUUUUCGGAUUGUAAACUUCUUUUCUUAGUGACGAAGACAGUGACGGUAGCUAAGGAAUAAGCAUCGGCUAACUACGUGCCAGCAGCCGCGGUAAUACGUAGGAUGCAAGCGUUAUCCGGAUUUACUGGGUGUAAAGGGAGCGCAGGCGGGACUGCAAGUUGGAUGUGAAAUACCGUGGCUUAACCACGGAACUGCAUCCAAAACUGUAGUUCUUGAGUGAAGUAGAGGCAAGCGGAAUUCCGAGUGUAGCGGUGAAAUGCGUAGAUAUUCGGAGGAACACCAGUGGCGAAGGCGGCUUGCUGGGCUUUAACUGACGCUGAGGCUCGAAAGUGUGGGGAGCAAACAGGAUUAGAUACCCUGGUAGUCCACACUGUAAACGAUGAUAGCUAGGUGUGGGGGGUCUGACCCCUUCCGUGCCGGAGUUAACGCAAUAAGCUAUCCACCUGGGGAGUACGACCGCAAGGUUGAAACUCAAAGGAAUUGACGGGGGCCCGCACAAGCAGUGGAUUAUGUGGUUUAAUUCGAAGCAACGCGAAGAACCUUACCAGGUCUUGACAUCCGACUAACGAGAUAGAGAUAUGUCAGGUGCCCUUCGGGGAAAGUCGAGACAGGUGGUGCAUGGUUGUCGUCAGCUCGUGUCGUGAGAUGUUGGGUUAAGUCCCGCAACGAGCGCAACCCCUGCCAUUAGUUGCUACGCAAGAGCACUCUAAUGGGACCGCUACCGACAAGGUGGAGGAAGGUGGGGACGACGUCAAAUCAUCAUGCCCCUUAUGACCUGGGCUACACACGUAAUACAAUGGCCGUUAACAGAGGGAAGCAAAGCGGUGACGCAGAGCAGAACCCUAAAAACGGUCCCAGUUCGGACUGUAGGCUGCAACCCGCCUACACGAAGUUGGAAUUGCUAGUAAUCGCGGAUCAGCAUGCCGCGGUGAAUACGUUCCCG
RNAcentral lists this ribosomal RNA (1002 nucleotides) under uncultured organism. Its description in RNAcentral is "bacterial SSU rRNA". It matches the Rfam family "Bacterial small subunit ribosomal RNA", at positions 356 to 1376 of the family's 1533-position model. The record is from RNAcentral.